AAUCUGUGUGGUCCAGUUUAUUAUUUCAUAUCCAAUGAGUUGAAGAGCUGGUCUGACAGCAGGCAGUACUGCAGGGAUCAUGGUGCUGAUCUGGUCAUUAUCAACAAUGAAGAGAAGCAGAGGUUCAUAUCUUCAUUUAUGAAAGAUGUUGACAGAGCGUGGAUUGGUUUAUCUGACAGAGAGCAGGAGGGCAACAUGACAUGGGUGAAUAAUUCAACACUGAAACAAGGGUUUUGGAUGGAAGGUGAGCCGAAUAACUAUGAAGGUGUAGAUGAGGACUGUAUAGAAAUGAGACUUUCGAAAGACACACUGAAUAACUGGAACGAUCUGCCAUGCUCAAUUCAAAGAAAAGGGAUUUGUGAGAAAUAGGGUCUUAUCUUUUUACUUGUGUUAUUUUAUGGCAUCAACCUUAUUGUGAUUGUAUAAGUAAUUUUUAAGUUUCCUGUUUUUUAAAACAUGAUGUGUUGUGAAACGCAUCUAAUGUGGUCAUGUUAUGCUAAAUCACAAGCAGCUCUAUAUUAUUAUGAUCUUAUUCUAGUUGUUAUCAUGUCUCAUUUGUUGAUCUGAAGUGUUAAGGGGACAAUGACAAUAAACUACAUUACAAACUACUAACUAUAUAUUGAGUGUCUGUAAAACUGCUUUUGAAUUCAAUUGCUUUUCUGUUUGAAUAAAAUUUUAAAUUACCAUCAUUAGAAUAGUG
Long non-coding RNA from Carassius gibelio (silver crucian carp), 700 nucleotides. RefSeq lists it as uncharacterized. The record is from RefSeq and is a predicted model, not a curated record. NCBI's taxonomy places the organism in Eukaryota, Metazoa, Chordata, Actinopteri, Cypriniformes, Cyprinidae. The transcript is spliced from 3 exons.